GUUGAACCCAAGUCUUUUGAUUCAUAGACUCGUUGACCCAAAAUGUUAGGAGCCUUAAAGAAAUAAUAGAACCCACUCAUUUUUAAAGAUGAGAAAUCUCCCAAGUCUAGGACCCUCUAGGUCUGCUAUAGGAGCUGCACAGGAAGAAAAGAAAGAGAAAGCGAUCUGAUCACUCCCUCCACCACAUUAUAGACAGGAUCUAGGCACUGUUAACCGGGAAUCGGGAAAGGCUUUCUGUGGGAGAUGGCCCCAGAGCUGGGCCUUGAAGGAAGGGAGAGAUUCCAAGGGCGGAGGUGAAGGGGGGAGUUGCAUUCCAAGCAUGGGAAAGAUCUGGAGGACGGGGGCGGCAGGAAAGCAAAAGGGCAUGUUCCGGACUGGCCCAAGAGGAAUCAGUUUGGCUGGAACAUUGAGUGCAUGGGGAGAGGGGGGGCUACAUGGGGAGGGGGAUGCCUUAGACGCCCCCGCGGAGCUGGGCACUGCGCAGACGCCCCGAGGAGGGAGGCGGGCUUUUUCCAGCAACUAUUUAAGUUUCCCCCAAGUCUAAGCAGCCGGGUCUUGGGCUUGGAUGAGGGCUGUUGGUGUCACCCACACCUCCCCUUUUUCCUCCUCCCCACUCCCUGGUGACCUCCUCUCAUCUGGGCCAUGCAGUCUGUAGUGUCUCCUGUGACCAAGGCCAUCUUCGUGGCUUUGUUCCUCUUUGCCAUCCUGCUCAUCCUCUACGUGAUCCUCUGGUACAUCUGCAGAGACGUGGACAACGACUACAUCUGAGGUCCGCAGGCUGGAUGGCUGCUGUCUCCCGCACGAACAGUCCGGGAGGUUUUCCCGUGGCCACGGGCAUCGACUGCUCCUCUCCUUGUCCGGACUUGGGUACCUGGUUGCGGGCUGCUCCUGUGGCUGCUGGCCCAAAAGAGACUGCGCUGGAAGCUGGACAAAUGUGGCUUGGAGCGGGAGGGGUGCCAUGGAUGAGCGUGGACUGCAUCAGCAAUCAGGACCUGGGACACAAUUCAGUCUCUUGUCACUUACUCCCUUUGUGAUCUAAGACAAGUCACUUCUUUCUGGGCCUCAGUUUCCUCAUCUGCAAAAUGAGAGGAUUAGACUAGAUCAUAUCUAUGAGAUCCCUUCCAGCUCUAAAUCACUGACCCC
RNAcentral lists this long non-coding RNA (1143 nucleotides) under Phascolarctos cinereus (koala). RNAcentral's name for it is "lncRNA (ENSPCIG00000022376.2)". The record is from RNAcentral. Lineage: Eukaryota; Metazoa; Chordata; Mammalia; Diprotodontia; Phascolarctidae.